GAUGAACGCUGGCGGCGUGCCUAAUACAUGCAAGUCGAGCGAACAGAUGAGGAGCUUGCUCCUCUGACGUUAGCGGCGGACGGGUGAGUAACAUGUGGAUAACCUACCUAUAAGACUGGGAUAACUUCGGGAAACCGGAGAUAAUACCGGAUAAUAUAUUGAACCGCAUGGUUCAAUAGUGAAAGACGGUUUUGCUGUCACUUAUAGAUGGAUCCGCGCCGCAUUAGCUAGUUGGUAAGGUAACGGCUUACCAAGGGAACGAUGCGUAGCCGACCUGAGAGGGUGAUCGGCCACACUGGAACUGAGACACGGUCCAGACUCCUACGGGAGGCAGCAGUAGGGAAUCUGCCGCAAUGGGCGAAAGCCUGACGGAGCAGCGCCGCGUGAGUGAUGAAGGUCUUCGGAUCGUAAAACUCUGUUAUUAGUGAAGAACAAAUGUGUAAGUAGCUAUGCACGUCUUGACGGUACCUAAUCAGAAAGCCACGGCUAACUACGUG
This 497-nucleotide ribosomal RNA is filed under the name uncultured bacterium. RNAcentral's name for it is "partial 16S ribosomal RNA". It matches the Rfam family "Bacterial small subunit ribosomal RNA", at positions 28 to 507 of the family's 1533-position model. The record is from RNAcentral.